RNAcentral lists this ribosomal RNA (492 nucleotides) under uncultured bacterium. RNAcentral's name for it is "partial 16S ribosomal RNA". It matches the Rfam family "Bacterial small subunit ribosomal RNA", at positions 29 to 507 of the family's 1533-position model. The record is from RNAcentral.
AGUGAACGCUGGCGGUAGGCCUAACACAUGCAAGUCGAACGGCAGCACAGUAAGAGCUUGCUCUUACGGGUGGCGAGUGGCGGACGGGUGAGGAAUACAUCGGAAUCUACUUUUUCGGGGGGGAUAACGUAGGGAAACUUACGCUAAUACCGCAUACGACCUACGGGUGAAAGCAGGGGAACUUCGGAACUUGCGCGAUUGAAUGAGCCGAUGUCGGAUUAGCUAGUUGGCGGGGUAAAGGCCCACCAAGGCGACGAUCCGUAGCUGGUCUGAGAGGAUGAUCAGCCACACUGGAACUGAGACACGGUCCAGACUCCUACGGGAGGCAGCAGUGGGGAAUAUUGGACAAUGGGCGCAAGCCUGAUCCAGCCAUACCGCGUGGGUGAAGAAGGCCUUCGGGUUGUAAAGCCCUUUUGUUGGGAAAGAAAAGCAGCAGGUUAAUACCCCGCUGUUCUGACGGUACCCAAAGAAUAAGCACCGGCUAACUUCGUG